AUUGAACGCUGGCGGCGGGCUUAACACAUGCAAGUCGAACGAGUGGCGGACGGGUGAGUAAUGCUUGGGAAUCUAGCUUAUGGAGGGGGAUAACUACGGGAAACUGUAGCUAAUACCGCGUACCAUAGGAUGAGCCCAAGGGGGAUUAGGUAGUUGGUGGGGUAAAGGGUCACCAAGCCGACGAUCUCUGGCUGGUCUGAGAGGAUGACCAGCGACACUGGGACGGAGACACGGCCCAGACUCCUACGGGAGGCAGCAGUGGGGAAUAUGGCGCAAUGGGCGCAACGUGACGCAGCCAGGCCGCGGAAGUGAAGAAGGCCUUCGGGUUGUAAAGUUCUUUAGGUAGCGAGGCGUUAACUACAGAAGAAGCACCGGCUAACUACGUGCCAGCAGCCGCGGUAAUUC
Molecule: ribosomal RNA, 405 nt
Filed under: uncultured bacterium
Lineage: Bacteria
Description: partial 16S ribosomal RNA
Rfam family: Bacterial small subunit ribosomal RNA
Source: RNAcentral